GACGAACGCUGGCGGCGUGCUUAACACAUGCAAGUCGAGCGAUGAAGCACCUUCGGGUGUGAAUUAGCGGCGAACGGGUGAGGAACACGUGAGAAAUCUGCCUUCAACACUGGGAUAACUCCGGGAAACCGGGGCUAAUACCGGAUAUGAAACCUGCGGGCAUCCGCGGGUUUGGAAAGUUUUUCGGUUGAAGAUGAUCUCGCGGCCUAUCAGCUUGUUGGUGAGGUAAUGGCUCACCAAGGCGACGACGGGUAGCCGGCCUGAGAGGGCGACCGGCCACACUGGGACUGAGACACGGCCCAGACUCCUACGGGAGGCAGCAGUGGGGAAUAUUGGGCAAUGGAGGAAACUCUGACCCAGCGACGCCGCGUGCGGGAUGAAGGCCUUCGGGUUGUAACCGCUUCAGCAGGGAAGAAGCGAAGUGACGGUACCUGCAGAAGAAGCACCGGCUAACUAUGUGCCAGC
RNAcentral lists this ribosomal RNA (465 nucleotides) under uncultured bacterium. Its description in RNAcentral is "bacterial SSU rRNA". It matches the Rfam family "Bacterial small subunit ribosomal RNA", at positions 28 to 512 of the family's 1533-position model. The record is from RNAcentral.